ACGUAGGGUGCAAGCGUUAAUCGGAAUUACUGGGCGUAAAGGGUGCGUAGGCGGAUAUACAAGUUAGAUGUGAAAGCCCUGGGCUUAACCUAGGAUGUGCAUUUAAGACUGUAAGUCUAGAGUAUAUGAGAGGUGGGUAGAAUUCCAAGUGUAGCAGUGAAAUGCGUAGAGAUUUGGAGGAAUAUCAAAGGCGAAGGCAGCCCACUGGCAUAAAACUGACGCUGAGGCACGAAAGCGUGGGUAGCGAACAGG
This 252-nucleotide ribosomal RNA is filed under the name uncultured bacterium. Its description in RNAcentral is "partial 16S ribosomal RNA". It matches the Rfam family "Bacterial small subunit ribosomal RNA", at positions 525 to 776 of the family's 1533-position model. The record is from RNAcentral.